Non-coding RNA from Caenorhabditis elegans, 21 nucleotides. Lineage: Eukaryota; Metazoa; Nematoda; Chromadorea; Rhabditida; Rhabditidae. The record is from Ensembl.
UGGUUGACACAUUAGGAUUCU